CAGCCGCCGCGGGAAUACGUAGGGUGCAAGCGUUAAUCGGAAUUACUGGGCGUAAAGCGUGCGCAGGCGGUUCGCUAAGACAGAUGUGAAAUCCCCGGGCUUAACCUGGGAACUGCAUUUGUGACUGGCGGGCUAGAGUAUGGCAGAGGGGGGUAGAAUUCCACGUGUAGCAGUGAAAUGCGUAGAGAUGUGGAGGAAUACCGAUGGCGAAGGAAGCCCCCUGGGCCAAUACUGACGCUCAUGCACGAAAGCGUGGGGAGCAAACAGGAUUAGAUACCCCCGUAGUCCCUGUCUCUUAUAC
This 301-nucleotide ribosomal RNA is filed under the name uncultured bacterium. RNAcentral's name for it is "partial 16S ribosomal RNA". It matches the Rfam family "Bacterial small subunit ribosomal RNA", at positions 509 to 807 of the family's 1533-position model. The record is from RNAcentral.